UAGGUAUUGCACCAUACAUGCUGUAUGCACACGCUAGACCACCAGUUAAACUUGCCUGAUCAUUUCUCUUCUACUAAUAUAAUCGGACAGACUUGUUCAGUUGGACACCUUUUGUGGGCAGAGAGCAAAGAACACACGUGGGUCUUCUACUGAUUGCUGUACUGUAGUUUUUGCUUCUCACGUGUUCUUUGUCAGCAAAGAAGCCGAGCACUUCAGGAUAUCACAAGAAAACACUGGGUGCUGAAGUGAACUUUUGUUUGCCUUUGUUGAGGGGGCUGUGUUUCAUAGGGAAUGACAAUUUAUAAUAUGCUCUGGUUUGUCAUGCUGUAACAACUGUGCCUCACUCCAGACAGGAAAUACACAUACCAGUAACUUUCAACUCAAGAUCAACAUCCUCAAAGAUAUCAGUUUCAACUUCUUCUAGAUUUUGAAAAGCAGAUUGUUCAUCAGAUCAAAGGAGCUUGCUGGUAGUGUUUUAUUGGGGUAACAUUUUCAAGAGGCUGACAAGACUGUUUACUUCAAAGUCUGUUCUUUCGGUGAGAGCCGUUGUUCAUCUGCAAUGUACAUCAUGUCUGAAGCAUACAUUGAGUCUGGUCAACCCCUGAACCUUGUCCAACCGUCCAAGAGCAAAGCAAAGAUGAUGGCGAGAGCUGCUGCCCAGCGGAGCAUGCACCAUGUUGAUUCCAAUUGCCCCUGCCCCCAGAUAGACUCUAAAAGCUCCAUCUUGUACCGGUUGCUGACGGACAACUACUACAGUGGGGUACCUUGCUCAUGCUCGAGCCCCCAUUGUCAUAGCAGUUUGCCAAGCCCACGUGAGAGCAAACUUAAAAUCCUCUUGGAGGAGUCAAAGAAGCAAGCUGUGCAAUCGUAACUAGAAGAGACAGAGUCUUUGUGAUAAUCACCAGUCAAUGCUAUGAAUAUUCCAGGCUUAGUAGACCCAGCAAUGGUUGAGACUCUACAAAGUGAAGCCCAGCUGCGAUUGAGCGAGUACGUGGCAUCCAUGCACCCCCAGGACCCUCUGCGCUUUGCCCGCGUGCUCCUCAGUCUUCCCCCUUUGCGCAACAUCCGUUCCCGUGUCAUCACGCAGCUCUUCUUCCGUGACCUCAUCGGGGCCGUGUCCAUGGAGGAUCUGCUGGAACAGAUGCUGGCCGUUCGCUGAUCAGGAAGAUGCGGCAAACUUAAAGAUGAUAACAUUAAAAAAAAAAUAAUAAUAAGAUGUUGAUGUGAUGCAUAGAGAGAGAAGUCUUUAUAGUUUAUCUAUCUUGGGUUUGAUGGUCAAUUCUCUCAUUUGUUUCCAAUCUCGAACCAAAGAAAAGUAGGUUCGUUUAUUUUAAUUUUGUAUUGCACUUUUGGUUUACAAAACACUUUUUGUCACCGUUACAAUGGUUCUGAUUUGAUCAGAACUGCUUUUUAAAGCAAGGAUUCCUGCUUAACACAUUACUUUACCAAUAUAAAAACAAUGUUGCACACUUUAAGAAAAGUCAAAGUUUAUAUUCAAAAUAACAGAUUUAGAAUAUAUAAAAAGAUUUUUGUUUUUAAAGAAUGGCCGGAUGUAAGUAGAAGUGACCAAACCCAAGUAGAUUUCAAUCUUGCAUACAUGUCAUAUUGCCCACCUUUGCCACCGACUUUUAUGACCAAUAUUUCUACACAGAUAAUUCAAAGAUACAUAUACAUGUACAAAGUGAUAUUUUACGUAAAAACAACUGUGUCUAGCAUUUCUAGUGAAGGAAUCAAUUGGCUAUAGACUUUUAUCAUGCUGGGGGGUUAUCUUUGUUGGUUCCCUGUGUGAAGUCAUCUCAUUGAUAGCAUAUUAUUUAAAAGGGACCAGUCCAUUUCCCAGGCAGCAACAUGAAAAAGGUCCCUAUGCCAGCAAUCUUUUACUGUCAGAAUGUGAACAUUAGAUCAGUGUUAAUUUAUUGCACAUAAAUGUGACAUAAAACAAGCUUGAGUAGGUUUCUAGUUUGAAAGAAGCAAGCAUUUUUUCCUGCUAGAAGUUUUAAACAUUAUUGAUGAGAAAUCAAGAGUUUGGUAGUGAACUCACCAUGACCAAAAAUCGCAAUUGUAAAGAGUUUAAACUGUUGGUUCUGCAUAUACUACUCUCUUGGUAACAUUUGAAAAGUGCCAAGUGUUUUUGUCAACUAUGAAAUUGGCAUCUGUGCAUGCAAUACAUGCAUGCAGAUUUCUGUAACUCAUAUUUUCAUGUGUAUGAUAAAGUAAACAGUUGGCACAGUACCUUUUGAGAAUGAAAAACAACACAGAAACUUAACAGCUAUUGACGCUAACUUUUCCAGAUACUUUGAGUUUUUAAAUCUGAAAAUAUAUUUGGUUACGUAUCAAUCAUUUUAAAAUCAACAUAAAGUUGUGGGGGACAAAUAGUUAAUUUAAAGGGCUUUGGAAAUCUAUGCACACUGGUGAUUUGAGCAAAUGUUUAUUUAUUUAAAAUGACCAACGGAUGAUGUUAGGUCAUUGUCAUAUAAUGUACAGUAACUUUUUUCCCACCUAUAGAUGUAAACAAGUCAUAAGGAAUGUACAGAGGUUUUUGGAGUUUUCUUAAGGAUAGCGUAUUUUAUGUCUGUGUGUGUCAUCCGUAGUAUUUUCCUGACUGAAAGUCACUGAGUGUAAUGUAUUUGUGAUGCAAUGAAUAGUGUUCAAAUCAUGUCCCAUCUCAUGCAUGAUUCUGGACACUGAAUAGAAUGGUAUAAUGGCAAGGAGCCAGACAGUGUAAAGUCCAAGACAUUUACAAACUAAUUUUCGAUAUUUUUUAUUGUGGUUCAAAGUCUGGCUGCAAACCUUGCUGUUGUAUCUGCCUACCAAACUUGAGCCCAGCUUUGUGCUAAAAGCCUACUAUGUGGCCACAUUUGCUGUGAACGAUUCUGUUGAGUUUCAUCUUAUAGCUAUCAUUCUAUGUAGCCUCUAAUUUAUAAAAGUGGCUACAACAUUGAUUACCUCUAUAGUUACCAAUGGCUGCACUGUGUCUGCUUGGACAGUCUUGUAAUGUUAUCUUUUUCGAGCUGACCAGCUAACCAGAGCAGUCAAGCCAACGGCACCAAAGUUUAAGUUCCAAUGUUGUUACAUUGUAUAAAGAAAGAUCAAGAAAAUGAUUUCAACAGAAAAAGCAGAAAAUAAAAUUAUGUUCUGUUGAGUUGUUAAAACAAAUUUUUCUAAUACAGCUUUGAAUGAAAACUUGGUUUAGAAAAUCGAAAACAAAUUAAGUAUGUUUUACUCCACUCUAUUAUGCUACUAAGUAGUACACUGUCCUAUACUUAUGCAAUGUUGCGCUUUUUGUUUGUGAAACUAGAUCGAUUUGAACUCGUUUUUCUUCUUCUUCUUUCCAUCAAAAGCAGCACCAGUGCAGUUUUGUGUGACUCUUAUUUAGUGAGUUUCCAAACUGGUUUGUUUAUUAUUUUUUUUGUAUUCCCCAGUGUGAUGUAAGGAAGACAAGAAAAGUUUUCGAAAAAUGGUAUAUUUUGAGACGUUCUGAGAUAGAGCAGCUGUAUAAAGAAAAGUUGUGUGGGUUGAUUAAAAAACCCAUUUUAUUUAUUGUGAUUAGUAAAAUACUAUUUAUGAUUAGAGAUAACGUGGAGCCGUUCUGCUUGAUUAUUAUGCCUUAUUUUGUGUCCUAUAGUUUCAAGAUGGAUUCCCGAGACUGGUAGAAAUGUCUGUUGUUUGGUACAGUUGAACAAAAAUAAAACUGAUUAUAGAAAAACAAAAUUUCUCUGAUAGGUGUGUAAUGAGUUGCUGGUUUGAAAGCAAAUUAAGUAAGUGCGUGACUUUAACUGAAAUAUCACUUUAUGCUUACGAUCAAUAGUUCCUUAGUGAAAGAAGAAGAGAGAAAGAAUUUGGCUGCAAUAAACAAUAUUUUGAAGACAGAAAAAAACGAAGAAGAAAAAAAGGAGAAAAAAAAUACGUUUGAAGAAUAAAAACCAAAAUAUUUGUUGUUAUUGGGAAGCCAAGCCAAUCUGAAAUACUGCUUGUGUUUAUUUGUAGUUGUAUACUUCAGAACAGUAUAGUGUAUAAAUAUUUAAACUUGAAGAUAUUUGUGUUGCGUUUUUUCCUGAAGUUGGCAAUGUGUUUGUAUACCUGUUAAUUCCAACAAAGAUUUGACGUUAAAGCUUUUAGAAUCUCAGUAUUUGACCUUUUCAAUUCUGCCGUUUAAGAGUACCAAGAAAAUAAUGGUACCAAGAAAACGGUGGAAGACUGUUACUUUAUUUAAAAUAAAGGGAUGGCUCUGAGAACAAGUCCACUGGUCGUUCAUCAUUUAGACAAAACAUUAUAAUUUACAAUAUUUAUUCUGGGAGUGUCUAAUUCUGUUCGAAGAGAAACGUUGCUCUGGGACGUAAACAAAAAGGGGAUAGCUUUAGGACCCCUAUCUUCCCAACCCUUUUCUUAUUGAAGAGUGCAAGCCCGAACUCUUAAUAAGGAAGGUAUCAAACGAAAGCUAGAUGUUUUUUCAGUCGGAAUCUCAUUUACUCAUUCAGUGCCAACAAUACCAGCCACAAAUCAGUCUAACCUAAUGGAGGCCAAGCUCAUAAUUUUAAAGUUGACUAAAAUAACAGAAAGAUUCGAAAAUGGAAUUAACUUGUAAAUAUGUAGCGCUAGUAAUAAGAGAUUUACAUGAUCUCGAAAUAAUAAUAUAUUGAAUUCUUAAGAUAAAGUUGUGUUCGUGUCUAUGUGAAAUAUUACUCGGUUUUUGUUUUCCCAGAUCAUUGUGUGAAUUAAAAAAAAGAAGCUUACUAACAGGAGUCUUAUUUCGCAAAAAGAUUCAGCGAUUUUAUUACUAGGGAUUUUUUCCUUUGCGUCUUGUGUAAUUGUUGUAAAAUCUCUCUUAUUGUGUUGUUGUAUUACAAUAAAAGAGAAAGCAGAACUGUAAAACAAGCUUGA
Asterias rubens (European starfish) is the source of this 4881-nucleotide long non-coding RNA. RefSeq lists it as uncharacterized. Lineage: Eukaryota; Metazoa; Echinodermata; Asteroidea; Forcipulatida; Asteriidae. The record is from RefSeq and is a predicted model, not a curated record. The transcript has 2 exons.